GGAUGAACGCUAGCGGCAGGCUUAACACAUGCAAGUCGAGGGGUAACAGGGUAGCAAUAUCGCUGACGACCGGCGCACGGGUGAGUAUCGCGUAUGCAACCUACCUUUAACUGGGGAAUAGCUUCGAGAAAUCGGAAUUAAUACCCCAUAACAUUCUGAAAAGGCAUCUUUUUUAGAAUUAAAGCUACGGUGGUUAAAGAUGGGCAUGCGUAACAUUAGCUUGUUGGUGAGGUAACGGCUCACCAAGGCAACGAUGUUUAGGGGGUCUUAAAGGAUGAUCCCCCACACUGGUACUGAGACACGGACCAGACUCCUACGGGAGGCAGCAGUGAGGAAUAUUGGUCAAUGGACGCAAGUCUGAACCAGCCAUGCCGCGUGCAGGAUGAAGGCCUUACAGGUCGUAAACUGCUUUUAUACGGGAAGAAACCCCUGAACGUGUUCGGGGCUGACGGUACUGUAUGAAUAAGCAUCGGCUAACUCCGUGCCAGCAGCCGCGGUAAUACGGAGGAUGCAAGCGUUAUCCGGAUUUAUUAGGUUUAAAGGGUGCGUAGGCGGAAUAAUAAGUCAGUGGUGAAAUCCUGCAGCUUAACUGUAGAACUGCCAUUGAAACUGCUAUUCUUGAGUAUAGUUGAGGUGGGCGGAAUGUGUCAUGUAGCGGUGAAAUGCAUAGAUAUGACACAGAACACCGAUUGCGUAGGCAGCUCACUAAACUACAACUGACGCUGAGGCACGAAAGCGUGGGGAUCAAACAGGAUUAGAUACCCUGGUAGUCCACGCCGUAAACGAUGAUUACUCGAUGUGUGCGAUAUACCGUAUGCGUCUGAGCGAAAGCAUUAAGUAAUCCACCUGGGGAGUACGAUCGCAAGAUUGAAACUCAAAGGAAUUGACGGGGGCCCGCACAAGCGGAGGAACAUGUGGUUUAAUUCGAUGAUACGCGAGGAACCUUACCUGGGCUUAAAUGCAGUAUGACUUUUCUGGAAACAGAUUUUCUCUUCGGAGCAGAUUGCAAGGUGCUGCAUGGUUGUCGUCAGCUCGUGCCGUGAGGUGUCGGGUUAAGUCCCAUAACGAGCGCAACCCCUAUUAUUAGUUGCCAGCGGGUAAUGCCGGGGACUCUAAUAAGACUGCCAGUGUAAACUGUGAGGAAGGUGGGGAUGACGUCAAAUCAGCACGGCCCUUACGUCCAGGGCUACACACGUGUUACAAUGGCCGGUACAAAGAGCAGCUACUUAGCGAUAAGAUGCUAAUCUCAAAAACCGGUCUCAGUUCGGAUCGAAGUCUGCAAUUCGACUUCGUGAAGCUGGAUUCGCUAGUAAUCGUAGAUCAGCAAUGCUACGGUGAAUACGUUCCCGGGCCUUGUACACACCGCCCGUCAAGCCAUGGAAGCUGGGGGUACCUAAAGUUCGUAACCGU
Molecule: ribosomal RNA, 1410 nt
Filed under: metagenome
Description: bacterial SSU rRNA
Rfam family: Bacterial small subunit ribosomal RNA
Source: RNAcentral